UGAGACAGGGUUUCGCUCUUGUCACCCAGGUUGGAGUGCAAUGGCGUGAUCUUGGCUCACUGCAACCUCUGCCUCCCGGGUUCAAGCAAUUCUCCUGCCUCAGCCUCCCAAAGUGCUGGGAUUACAGGCGUGAGCCACUGCGCCUGGCCAGAAGAAUCUUGAGUUGAGGGGGAGGAUGAAGUGUUUGCACAUUAGAAGCUUAGUCAUGGUAUCUUCAUAAAUGGGGAUCUGGUGAGCAAGGUUGCUCUGCUAACAUUUAUGUAGCCUUAACUGACAGACUGAGUCUCAUAUUGGGUUAGAAUAAACAGCUGCUGCCAAGGAAGCUUAACAUUGGUUCUAAGGAAACUAUGUGGCAUCAGAUAAGCUUGCUUGACAUCAGAACUUGCCACUGACAUGGUUCAUCUGCUGCCUAGCCUAUGUGAUUGUGUUCUCAUUGAUGCACAUUUAAAUUAAUAUUUUGGGCAAUUGGUUAAAAUUUUGACCUUUAGGCCCUAGAGGUUUCUCAUGACUUUAUUUAUGAAGAAUAUUGUUGAUGCAUUUUAGAAUUUAAUUUGUGUUUUUUUCUGAUUAUGAAGGCAAUACAUAGUUGAUUUAAAAAAAAUACUCUGGAAAAAGUAUAGAAAAGGAUUAAGAAGAAAAUAAAAAUCACCUGAAAUUCUACUUCCCAUGGUAUGUUUGCUUCCAGUUAUUUUUUCAAUGUGGAUAUAUAUUUGGGAGAGAGUGGGAUGUUUCCUUAUUAGUGAAAUAGCUGAGGCUUCAGUAAAAUUUCACUUAACACUCAUGAUAUUGAGAUGUUUGCCUAAUGCACUGUGCUAAUUAAGGUUGUUUGUUUAAUCAGGUGGUACAAAUUCUGAUGCCUUAGGAGCCAAAUAGGCAAUGAGUGAAUCAGGCCAGUUAUAAGCACUGGGGAGUGAUGGCAACUGUGGUUAACUGGAAAAUGC
This 941-nucleotide long non-coding RNA is filed under the name Homo sapiens (human). RNAcentral's name for it is "non-protein coding lnc-PLAU-2:1". The record is from RNAcentral. Lineage: Eukaryota; Metazoa; Chordata; Mammalia; Primates; Hominidae.